CAGCACCUCAAGUGGUCAGGAUGAUUAUUGGGCCUAAAGCAUCCGUAGCCGGCGCUGUAAGUUUUCGGUUAAAUCUGUACGCUCAACGUACAGGCUGCCGGGAAUACUGCAGCGCUGGGGAGUGGGAGAGGUAGACGGUACUCGGUAGGAAGGGGUAAAAUCCUUUGAUCUAUUGAUGACCACCUGUGGCGAAGGCGGUCUACCAGAACACGUCCGACGGUGAGGGAUGAAAGCUGGGGGAGCAAACCGGAUUAGAUACCCGAGUAGUCC
Molecule: ribosomal RNA, 270 nt
Filed under: uncultured archaeon
Lineage: Archaea
Description: partial 16S ribosomal RNA
Rfam family: Archaeal small subunit ribosomal RNA
Source: RNAcentral